This 495-nucleotide ribosomal RNA is filed under the name uncultured bacterium. RNAcentral describes it as "partial 16S ribosomal RNA". It matches the Rfam family "Bacterial small subunit ribosomal RNA", at positions 28 to 507 of the family's 1533-position model. The record is from RNAcentral.
GACGAACGCUGGCGGCGUGCCUAAUACAUGCAAGUAGAACGCUGAAGGAGGAGCUUGCUUCUCCGGAUGAGUUGCGAACGGGUGAGUAACGCGUAGGUAACCUGCCUGGUAGCGGGGGAUAACUAUUGGAAACGAUAGCUAAUACCGCAUAACAGUAGAUGUUGCAUGGCAUUUGCUUAAAAGGUGCAAUUGCAUCACUACCAGAUGGACCUGCGUUGUAUUAGCUAGUUGGUGAGGUAACGGCUCACCAAGGCGACGAUACAUAGCCGACCUGAGAGGGUGAUCGGCCACACUGGGACUGAGACACGGCCCAGACUCCUACGGGAGGCAGCAGUAGGGAAUCUUCGGCAAUGGACGGAAGUCUGACCGAGCAACGCCGCGUGAGUGAAGAAGGUUUUCGGAUCGUAAAGCUCUGUUGUAAGAGAAGAACGAGUGUGAGAGUGGAAAGUUCACACUGUGACGGUAUCUUACCAGAAAGGGACGGCUAACUACGUG